CUCUUCUCUUUUUGAGUAUGAGGUAUAGCCUGCCCAUUGAUAUAGUAAUUUAACGGCCGCAGUAUUUUGACUGUGCAAAGGUAGCAUAAUCAUUAGUUUUUUAAUUGAGGACUGGAAUGAAGGGUUUAACGAAAUAAAAGUUGUCUUAUUAUAAUUAUUUAUUGAACUUAAUUGUUGAGUUAAAAAGCUUAAAUUUUUUUAUGGGACGAGAAGACCCUAUAGAGUUUUAUAUAUUAUAUUUUAUAUAUAGUUUUUUAAUUGUUAUUAUUUAUAAUUUAUUUUGUUGGGGUGAUGGGUAGAUAUUUUAAACUCUAUUUUAUAUAUAUAUAUAUUAAUUGAUAUAUUAAUGAUCCAAUAUUUUUGAUUAAAAGUUUAAAUUACCUUAGGGAUAACAGCGUA
RNAcentral lists this ribosomal RNA (399 nucleotides) under Nyctibora sp. 1 DJGI-2006. RNAcentral describes it as "partial 16S ribosomal RNA". The record is from RNAcentral. Lineage: Eukaryota; Metazoa; Arthropoda; Insecta; Blattodea; Nyctiboridae.